This is a non-coding RNA of Vicugna pacos (alpaca), 944 nucleotides long. The record is from RefSeq and is a predicted model, not a curated record. NCBI's taxonomy places the organism in Eukaryota, Metazoa, Chordata, Mammalia, Artiodactyla, Camelidae.
CCUAGAAAGACUCUCCCAUCAGUAAUACUAUUUCUUAGAAAUUUGAGGAGGGGAAAAUAAAAGUUCAAGUAUAAAGUAAGUUUAUGCAUUAAAAAAUUAUAACUUCCUUUCCACCUCAGAAUUAUAAAUAUUUAAAGAAAAAAUGGCAAAUAUGAUAAGAUGAAAAAACAUAUAUAUGAAAACUACAUAUGUACAGAGGAAGUGAUUUGAUCAACACAUGUAGAUUAAUUUUUUAGGCUUCUAGGGUUGCAAUUGUUUUGUUAGUUAAAAACAUAUAGUUCCCAAACCCAUCAAGAGGCAGUAAAUUUAAAAAAUUUUAUGUGCAGAAAUAUAAAAGCACAGACCUAUUGAUGAAUUACUACUAUGCCUGAAUUGCAUUAGUUAUUCAAAACCUUUCAGGUAGUAUUUUCAAACCAAUGUUUUAGCACUAAAAAUCUUAUUGGGCUCUUAAAGCAUUUUCAUAAAGAUGGCCAUGUAUAUAUAGUUAGGUUCAAUUUCAAAAAUCCAAUAUUUAAGUAAUUUAUAUUACUUAUAUAUUAUUUUAGCCAGAAUCAGCUGAUAAAUUGUAUUUCUUUCCAAAUAAUAUUUUAAGCUAAAUGUGAAAUGUACCAACUCUCCUAACCAGGCACUUAAAAACAUGACAUCACAAAAGUCAUUUCUACAUUGUUUUUUAAAGAUUUUUAAAAAAUAUUAAUCAACCAAACCAACCAACCAAAACCAAAAACAAACAAACAAAAGAACACUUCUCCUUCUAAAACUGUAAGAAUUCAGCACAAAAUUUCAGGUAAAUAAAUCUAAAAAGAAUAUCAACAUCACAGAGUAUUUAGUUGAGCCUAACAGGAGCAGUAAUAUUUUAAAUUGCCCUCUGCUAUGUGCUCUAAUCAAAACUGUGAAGGUAAACUUCGGCAAGGUAAAGUUAAAAGAAAGGAAGAGCACACCGUCUG